This 407-nucleotide ribosomal RNA is filed under the name uncultured dinoflagellate. RNAcentral describes it as "partial small subunit ribosomal RNA". It matches the Rfam family "Eukaryotic small subunit ribosomal RNA", at positions 30 to 432 of the family's 1831-position model. The record is from RNAcentral. Lineage: Eukaryota; Dinophyceae.
GCUUGUCUCAAAGAUUAAGCCAUGCAUGUCUAAGUAUAAACAACUCUAUACUGUGAAACUGCGAAUGGCUCAUUAUAUCAGUUAUAGUUUAUUUGAUAGUACCUUACUACUUGGAUAACCGUAGUAAUUCUAGAGCUAAUACAUGCAUACAACCCCAACUGCCUGUGCGGACGGGGCGUAUUUAUUAGAUCGAAACCAAUGCGGGGCAACCCGGUAUUGUGGUGAUUCAUAAUAACCGAACGAAUCGUAUGGCAUCAGCUGGCGAUGAAUCAUUCAAGUUUCUGACCUAUCAGCUUCCGACGGUAGGGUAUUGGCCUACCGUGGCAAUGACGGGUAACGGAGAAUUAGGGUUCGAUUCCGGAGAGGGAGCCUGAGAAACGGCUACCACAUCUAAGGAAGGCAGCAGG